This 295-nucleotide long non-coding RNA is filed under the name Physcomitrium patens. RNAcentral describes it as "long non-coding RNA (PPAT_LNC005490)". Lineage: Eukaryota; Viridiplantae; Streptophyta; Bryopsida; Funariales; Funariaceae. The record is from RNAcentral.
GGGGAGUUUUUGAUCUUGAGCAAAUAUCAUAAGAUUGUAUAAAAUCUUUAACUGCUUUCCACAUUUGAGGCCACCAAAAGUCCCUAGAUAUUACUUCCAAAGUUUUAUUGUACCCAAAAUAUCAUGUUGUUGAAAAAUUAUGACGAGCUUGAAGAACAUGUAAUCAAGCUUCUCUUUCUAGAACAUAUAGGUGUCUCUCAAAAUAUAGUAGAUUCUUCUUGAAUUCAAACUUGGAAGUAUUAUGAGACUUUGAAGCAUUUUUCUUAAUAUCACGAAUAAGAGGAUCAGAAGACAU